Molecule: ribosomal RNA, 443 nt
Filed under: uncultured bacterium
Lineage: Bacteria
Description: partial 16S ribosomal RNA
Rfam family: Bacterial small subunit ribosomal RNA
Source: RNAcentral
CCUACGGUGAGCAGCAGUGGGGAAUAUUGGGCAAUGGGCGCAAGCCUGACCCAGCAACGCCGCGUGAAGGAAGAAGGCUUUCGGGUUGUUAACUUUUUUUCUGAGGGAAGAAGAAAGUGACGCUACCUCACGAAUAAGACACGGCUCACUACGUGCCAGGAGCCGCGGUGAUACGUAGGUCGCAAGCAUUAUACGGAUUUAUUUGGUGUAAAGGGCGUGUAGGCGGGAAGGCAAGACAGAUGUGAAAUCUCAGGGCCCAACCCUGAGCCGGCAUUUGAAACUGUUUUUCUUGAGUGCUGGAGAGGCAAUCGGAAUGCCGUGUGUAGCGGUGAAAUGCGUAGAUAUACGGAGGAACACCAGUGGAGAAGGCGGAUUGCUGGACAGUAACUGACGCUGAGGCGCGAAAGCGUGGGGAGCAAACAGGAUUAGAUACCCUGGUAGUC